RNAcentral lists this transfer RNA (74 nucleotides) under Cordylochernes scorpioides. Its description in RNAcentral is "tRNA-Thr". It matches the Rfam family "tRNA". From Rfam's summary of the family: Transfer RNA (tRNA) molecules are approximately 80 nucleotides in length. Lineage: Eukaryota; Metazoa; Arthropoda; Arachnida; Pseudoscorpiones; Chernetidae. The record is from RNAcentral.
UCCAGGGUAGCCUAGUGGACAUGGCAUCUGCCCGGUAAGCGGAAGGUUGUGGGUUCGAUUCCCGCCCCUGGUAA